Molecule: ribosomal RNA, 175 nt
Filed under: uncultured bacterium
Lineage: Bacteria
Description: partial 16S ribosomal RNA
Rfam family: Bacterial small subunit ribosomal RNA
Source: RNAcentral
CCGUGAAGCUGGAUUCGCUAGUAAUCGCGCAUCAGCCAUGGCGCGGUGAAUACGUUCCCGGGCCUUGUACACACCGCCCGUCAAGCCAUGGGAGCCGGGAGUGCCUGAAGUCCGUGACCGCGAGGAGCGGCCUAGGGUAAGACCGGUGACUGGGGCUAAGUCGUAACAAGGUAGC